GACGGAGGGUGCUAGCGUUGUUCGGAAUCACUGGGCGUAAAGGGCGCGUAGGCGGCCUUGCAAGUCGGUUGUGGAAAGCCCGGGGCUCAACCCCGGAGGUGCGGCCGAGACUGCAGGGCUGGAGGCCGGAAGAGGAGGGUGGAAUACCCAGUGUAGAGGUGAAAUUCGUAGAUAUUGGGUGGAACACCGGUGGCGAAAGCGGCUCUCUGGUCCGGACCUGACGCUGAGGCGCGAAAGCGUGGGGAGCAAACAGG
This 254-nucleotide ribosomal RNA is filed under the name uncultured bacterium. Its description in RNAcentral is "partial 16S ribosomal RNA". It matches the Rfam family "Bacterial small subunit ribosomal RNA", at positions 524 to 776 of the family's 1533-position model. The record is from RNAcentral.